GCGCUUGAACGCGUACAGCGCGGCUACGGAACUGCUCUCGGUUAGCACGUGCACACGUCUGUUCAGACCGGCGCAUUUCUCCAAAAGCGAGCUCUCGGUGAUUUCCUCCGAGCAGUCCGCGUGCUGCUGCACAAUGAGCCACAAACCAAAGAAGAGCAGGAGAUUCUCACAUAAUCAUCAUCUGCAUCAGGAAAUGCUUAUUUUCCAAAGAUUUGGCUCCUGCGGACUUUGCCCUCUUCCUGAAGACGAAAAUCCAGCUCAAAUUUUUUUUUUUUUUGCCACUACUGUGGAGAUCCAGUGUGAAUUGCAGAAGGUGCCUGACAACCUUCAAAAAAAAGACUCCCAGGACAUGCUGGGACCACUGUAAUGUUGUUCAAAAUGUAGAUACAUAAAGUACUUUCUCAACAGA
Molecule: long non-coding RNA, 409 nt
Organism: Silurus meridionalis
Lineage: Eukaryota; Metazoa; Chordata; Actinopteri; Siluriformes; Siluridae
Exons: 3
Source: RefSeq, a predicted model, not a curated record